RNAcentral lists this ribosomal RNA (253 nucleotides) under uncultured bacterium. Its description in RNAcentral is "partial 16S ribosomal RNA". It matches the Rfam family "Bacterial small subunit ribosomal RNA", at positions 524 to 776 of the family's 1533-position model. The record is from RNAcentral.
UACAGAGGGGGCAAGCGUUGUUCGGAAUUACUGGGCGUAAAGGGCGCGUAGGCGGCCUGCUAAGUCGAACGUGAAAUCCCCGGGCUCAACCCGGGAACUGCGUCCGAUACUGGCUGGCUUGAAUUCGGGAGAGGGAUGCGGAAUUCCAGGUGUAGCGGUGAAAUGCGUAGAGAUCGGGAGGAACACCCGUAGCGAAGGCGGCACUCUGGGCCGGUACUGACGCUGAGGAGCGAAAGCGUGGGGAGCAAACAGG